AGUCAAUUAAACAGUUCCUUGGUGUCUU
This 28-nucleotide small RNA is filed under the name Bombyx mori (domestic silkworm). RNAcentral describes it as "ovarian small RNA-12268". The record is from RNAcentral. Lineage: Eukaryota; Metazoa; Arthropoda; Insecta; Lepidoptera; Bombycidae.